This 85-nucleotide transfer RNA is filed under the name Nitrososphaerales archaeon. RNAcentral describes it as "tRNA-Leu". It matches the Rfam family "tRNA". Rfam says of the family: Transfer RNA (tRNA) molecules are approximately 80 nucleotides in length. Their secondary structure includes four short double-helical elements and three loops (D, anti-codon, and T loops). The record is from RNAcentral. Lineage: Archaea; Thermoproteati; Nitrososphaerota; Nitrososphaeria; Nitrososphaerales.
GCGGGGGUCGCCAAGUCUGGUCAAAGGCGCGAGGCUCAGAACCUCGUCCCUAAGGGGUUCGUGGGUUCAAAUCCCACCCCCCGCA